This 471-nucleotide ribosomal RNA is filed under the name uncultured organism. RNAcentral describes it as "partial 16S ribosomal RNA". It matches the Rfam family "Bacterial small subunit ribosomal RNA", at positions 334 to 797 of the family's 1533-position model. The record is from RNAcentral.
CACUCCUGCGGGAGGCAGCAGUGGGGAAUUUUGGACAAUGGGGGCAACCCUGAUCCAGCAAUGCCGCGUGAGUGAAGAAGGCCUUCGGGUUGUAAAGCUCUUUUGUCAGGGAAGAAACGGUGGUGGCGAAUAACUACUACUAAUGACGGUACCUGAAGAAUAAGCACCGGCUAACUACGUGCCAGCAGCCGCGGUAAUACGUAGGGUGCAAGCGUUAAUCGGCAUUACUGGGCGUAAAGCGUGCGCAGGCGGUUGUGUAAGUCAGAUGUGAAAUCCCCGGGCUCAACCUGGGAAUUGCAUUUGAGACUGCACGGCUAGAGUGUGUCAGAGGGGGGUAGAAUUCCACGUGUAGCAGUGAAAUGCGUAGAUAUGUGGAGGAAUACCGAUGGCGAAGGCAGCCCCCUGGGAUAACACUGACGCUCAUGCACGAAAGCGUGGGGAGCAAACAGGAUUAGAUACCCUAGUAGUCCC